GGUCCCUUUUUUCUUCAUAUGUUUUACUUAUUUAGUCGUUUUCUUUUUUGUUCUCGAUCGUCGAAUUAUUUGUGGAUCGUGAGAUGGGCUUAUGCUGGGGCAUCGAUGAUGAUAAAUCUAAAGGCUUGUUUCUCAAAAACAUUCGCAGUGGCCGCCUGAGGGCUUUCGCCUAGCGGGCUUGAGAGCCUUUGCUGUUAAAUCCUUCCUUGGAUGGCUGAGAUCGCCUCAAGUUGAAAUUCCUUUCUCGCGAAUUCGUUGUGUAGUUCUACAUUUUUUUUCUACGUUUGGUUGAAUCUUUAUUUUUUGAUCUUUUUUAUGUGGCGUCUUUUCCACUUGUUUUGAUCUUUUUGCGCUCUUUUUUUGGGUAAUAUUAAUCUAGUUGCUGAUGAUGAUAAAUCCAAAGGCUUGUUUCUCAAAAUUCGCAGUGGCCGCCUGAAAGCUUUCGCCUCGCCAGGCUUGAGAGCUUAUGUUGCUCAACUUUUCCUUCCUUGGAUGUCUGAAGCUAAAAUUUCUGUAAUUAAGUCUUUUACCAUAGAUUUCGGAAUCUGUUGCAUACAAGGAUAGUUACUUUGGUAUUAGAAACUUCAAAUCAUUGGUCUUUUGGUUUGUAAGACCGAUGAUGAAAUUGAAUUUUUGAAAACAUGAUGCAUAUUUUUUUUUUUAAAUUUCUCGGUCGUUAACAGCAGCAAGUCAAAGUCUUGUUUCUCAUAAGAGCUCUUUGCCUUCCAGGCUUGAGAGCUCCUAAACUUUUUCUUCUGUGGAUGUUUACUGAGUCUAUUUGAAGGUUAUUUUUACUUGUUUUUUAAGUUUUAAUGUCAAAAUUGAUAACACUUUGAUGUUACCUGGAAAAUGGUGAUUUUAAUAAACCCGAAUUUGUAUGUAUUCCAUCGUGCUUGGGUUUUUGAUUUUGUUUCAAAAAUUUGUGUUGGAUGUCUUUGUAGUUUUUUUUUUAAUAUUUGUCAUAUUUUCAUUAUCCUUCGUCCAUUCUCUAAAUAUUUUGCUACCUUCAAUUAUUAUUAUUAUGAACACGAUAUUAGCAAUUUGGCUGUUUUUUGUUUUGGGUGGCUAAAAUGAGUCUUCAAAUGGAAUGCCAAUGAUGACAAACCCAAAGGCUUGUUUCUCAAAACAUUCGCAGUGGCCGCCUGAGAGCUUUCGCCUUGCCUGGCUUGAGAGCUUGUGCUGCUUGAAUUUUUCCUUCCUUGGAUGUCUGAGGCUGCAUCAUGAGAAGACUCAUAUCUUAUUCUGGUUUGACAGGAUUGUUGCUUUCAUCAGACAUGUAGUAGUCGCCUAGUGCGUUGGCCUAUGGUAAGCUUUGGAGUUUGUGCUUCUGAAACAUUCUGUUGUUGUUGCUCAGCUGAUCUUGAAGCUUGUAAAUGAUAUUAUUUCGUUCUGUUUGAUUAUUUUUAUUUGAAAUGCUGUUUUCUUCUAUUUCCAAUCUCCUGUAUAAAAUGAGAACUGUGAUGAUGAGAGUUUUUGGAACUUUUUAUAUGUUGUGGUUCCGUAGUAGGAUGCUGAUGAUGACAAAUCCUAAGGCUUGUUUCUCAAAACAUUCGCAGUGGCCGCCUGAGAGCUUUCGCCUUGCCAGGCUUGAGAGCUUGUGCUGCUCAAAUUUCCUUCCUUGGAUGUCUGAGGCUAUUGGCAAACUACAAAUUCUAUGUUAUUUGGUCUUCUUUGCUGUUGUUUCGCAUUGUUUUUUUUUUCUUGUUGAAGUUUUAUUUGUUUAUGUGGACAAUCUUCUUUUCUAUAUUUGAUUUGAGCGUUGGCCGCUGGACUAUUGAAUUGGAAAAUUUGAUAUUUACUGUGCUUUGUUGACCAAACUUUGCAUGAUAUUUGUAUUUUUCUAAUCAAUUUUAUAGAUCAACGUCUUUUGUAAUUAUGCUCUUGUUUUGAGUUCUGUGAUUUUUUUUUUGCGAUCUUGUUUUCCAAUGUCCUGUUAUUUGUGUUUAUUUAGUUCAAUUCUUCGAAUGUUACCGUUGGUGGUAUCCCAACAGCUUUGGUAGAAGCUGGCAACUUCGGGACUACACGUCUGCCCCUCUGGCUCUCAUUUUAGCCUUAGGGAUGAACUAGUCCCCUACAUUUGUCCUCCUUUGUGCUUCACUAAGUCAGCCAGAUCUCUUUCUCUCCUGUUUUUCCUGACAUUUUUUGGGGGAUAUAUGAUAAUUUCUAGUACUUUGAAUUGGUAUUUGCAUCGAGGUUCAUGCUUUUUUAUAUUUUGUCAUGUAGAGUUCUGCAUGGCGACGUUUAUACAGCGUCUUUCUUACUGUUGAUCAAUGGGGCUGUUUGUUGCCAUCUGAAUCCCGUAUCUUCAUUCUCAUUGACAGUUUGUGGAAAACAAUUCAUGCUUCUUUUCUUUGUACGAAUCUUGUAAAUAUCGAUGUCUACAUGAGCUUCUAAUGGGUUUCUCAAGAGAUUUAACUCUAAUGUUCGCAUUAACUAGUGAUCUAGUAUGAAUUGUAUAGGUUAUACUUUUGUCAAGAUUUCCUUUUUUUGUAUUCUUUGUGAGCUUUUUUUCGAAAUUUGGAGCUGCGGGAUCCCCGUUUCUCGUUAGGCAUUUUCCUGUUGUGUAUCAGGGUUUUGGUUUGGCCAUGGCAUCAGUUUAUUGACAAUUCAAAAUGUUUGGCUGGUGGUUAUGAGUGGUGACUGAGUUGUUCUUUCUUUGGCGAAAAUUCAUUCCUUACUAUUCGCGAAGACUGCCAUGUUGUUCUUCUCCGGUGUCGAGCAAGGUGACCAAGAGCAUGCAUCUCUGUGGCAGGAUGGUCCUGUUUCUGGUUUCAACUUUUCUGCUUGCGAUACUGGUGGUUCGACGUUUAUGUGCUUCUGUGAUGUCACUUCUGUGGCCCGUUUACGUGAAUGAUCGGAGUGUAUAAUGGCAUUGUUGGUUUAUUGUCUAAUGUUAUAGUUAGCGUUUGAGGCGUAUUUCUGGAUAAUGUUAGUUUGAGUACAUCCAUGUAAAAGAGAAGAUAUGGUAAUACGGGAAAGUGUCUCAAGGCUAUUUCAUGAACAACCGGAAUGCUGAGCCACAUUGUAGGCUAUCUAGCCCGCUUCAGCUGGCGGAGGCCGACCCCACCUUGACCAGUGCAGGGCUCGGUACUGAGCCCGAGUCCAAGCUAGACUUUUAUAGAACGAGCCGAGCCGAGCCUGCUGUGGCUCGGGCUCGGUUUGGCUCGUUGACAGCCCUAACUAUAACUGCUUUUGUUUCAUUCGGCUAGAAACUCGGCUCGAAUUUCCGCCUUUACUGGGCUGUGCCGGCUUGUUUACCCGUUUCGAUCCAGAACCGGGCUGACUCGGCUCGUCACCAGUGGAUGCGACUCAUUUAAUGGCGUCCUUUUGCUCGAGAGCUUUGCUGUGUCACCUUGUAUGGCUUUUGCGCCUAUCUGAAUCACGUCUCUUUUCUCGGCUUAAUUUCUCCCUUCAAAAUCUUAGGUGGUGGGAUUUUUUCCGUGGCCAACUAAGGUCCAAAACCUGCCACUUUCGCACGGUAGGAUGCUCCUCCACGUUGGGGGGUUUCCUUACAGUCUUCCAUCUCCAUCUGGGCUGUAUGAGCUCUACUUGGUUCGCCACCUUCUGCCGCUUGCGAGGGAAGAAGGAAACAUCAUUCUGCAGGAUGUUUUCGAAAAAGGAUUGUCGGAAGACUUUGUUUCGCCUUAAUAUGAGGAUAUCUGGCUUCAGCGGUUUUAGAGCAUUGAUCUUGACCUUUAUCUCGGCAUGCCUUCGGUUCCUCAAUUGGUUUGUGAAGCUGUUGACCGUCAGCAGGCAGUCGGCUGCUGUUGUGAUGACUCAGAUGGUCUUGUUCCCUCUAUACUCUAAUCCUUUCCUCAAUAUCUAAGGGCCAAAUAUAGCAGUCGCACCCAAGGUUCCAUGGCCAAUAGUUGGUGUGGCACCCAGGGCCUUCGGCUAGAGAGCAUCUCGUCCUCUUUCAUCUUGAAGCGGAGCACAAUGAUUCCUCAGCCAUGGGGUAGGGCUUCAUUAUGAAGCGGAGCAUGUAUAUUCAUCUGUUGAUUACUGAGAUAGCCUUUGACCCCAACAGUUGUCUUGGGCCUCCUAUAAAUUAUUUAUUAUUUUUGGAUCGAACAUGUAACCUCCUGCGAAAUAAAAUCAACAAUAAUUCAUUCAUCUACACAUAAAUCAAGCUGUAUGAACACUUUGAUGCUUAAUGAAAACUGCUCAAUCAAGAGAGAAGUCUAUCCUCCACUUCGUUCAGAAUAUAUCAGACGAUUAAGAUGUCGAUGGAGAUAUUCAGGAUGUAACUAGGGGUAACUUAAAAGCAGUAACUUCAGCUUUCAGACCAUCAAAGCACCGACAACCAUGUUAAAUGGCCCAAGAUCAACAUACCAAUGACCAUAAAAAUCACGAGCAAGAAACGAGCAGAACUAGGAUGUAUCCGUUGCUCUCUUUAA
Non-coding RNA from Phoenix dactylifera (date palm), 4397 nucleotides. NCBI's taxonomy places the organism in Eukaryota, Viridiplantae, Streptophyta, Magnoliopsida, Arecales, Arecaceae. The record is from RefSeq and is a predicted model, not a curated record.